CAAAAUGAGAGUUUUGAUCCUGGCUCAGGACGAACGCUGGCGGCGUGCCUAAUACAUGCAAGUCGAGCGAGCAGAACCAGCAGAUUUACUUCGGUAAUGACGCUGGGGACGCGAGCGGCGGAUGGGUGAGUAACACGUGGGGAACCUGCCCCAUAGUCUAGGAUACCACUUGGAAACAGGUGCUAAUACCGGAUAAUAAAGCAGAUCGCAUGAUCAGCUUAUAAAAGGCGGCGUAAGCUGUCGCUAUGGGAUGGCCCCGCGGUGCAUUAGCUAGUUGGUAAGGUAACGGCUUACCAAGGCAAUGAUGCAUAGCCGAGUUGAGAGACUGAACGGCCACAUUGGGACUGAGACACGGCCCAAACUCCUACGGGAGGCAGCAGUAGGGAAUCUUCCACAAUGGACGCAAGUCUGAUGGAGCAACGCCGCGUGAGUGAAGAAGGUUUUCGGAUCGUAAAGCUCUGUUGUUGGUGAAGAAGGAUAGAGGUAGUAACUGGCCUUUAUUUGACGGUAAUCAACCAGAAAGUCACGGCUAACUACGUGCCAGCAGCCGCGGUAAUACGUAGGUGGCAAGCGUUGUCCGGAUUUAUUGGGCGUAAAGCGAGCGCAGGCGGAAGAAUAAGUCUGAUGUGAAAGCCCUCGGCUUAACCGAGGAAUUGCAUCGGAAACUGUUUUCUUGAGUGCAGAAGAGGAGAGUGGAACUCCAUGUGUAGCGGUGGAAUGCGUAGAUAUAUGGAAGAACACCAGUGGCGAAGGCGGCUCUCUGGUCUGCAACUGACGCUGAGGCUCGAAAGCAUGGGUAGCGAACAGGAUUAGAUACCCUGGUAGUCCAUGCCGUAAACGAUGAGUGCUAAGUGUUGGGAGGUUUCCGCCUCUCAGUGCUGCAGCUAACGCAUUAAGCACUCCGCCUGGGGAGUACGACCGCAAGGUUGAAACUCAAAGGAAUUGACGGGGGCCCGCACAAGCGGUGGAGCAUGUGGUUUAAUUCGAAGCAACGCGAAGAACCUUACCAGGUCUUGACAUCUAGUGCCAUCCUAAGAGAUUAGGAGUUCCCUUCGGGGACGCUAAGACAGGUGGUGCAUGGCUGUCGUCAGCUCGUGUCGUGAGAUGUUGGGUUAAGUCCCGCAACGAGCGCAACCCUUAUUAUUAGUUGCCAGCAUUAAGUUGGGCACUCUAAUGAGACUGCCGGUGACAAACCGGAGGAAGGUGGGGAUGACGUCAAGUCAUCAUGCCCCUUAUGACCUGGGCUACACACGUGCUACAAUGGGCAGUACAACGAGAAGCGAGCCUGCGAAGGCAAGCGAAUCUCUGAAAGCUGUUCUCAGUUCGGACUGCAGUCUGCAACUCGACUGCACGAAGCUGGAAUCGCUAGUAAUCGCGGAUCAGAACGCCGCGGUGAAUACGUUCCCGGGCCUUGUACACACCGCCCGUCACACCAUGGAAGUCUGCAAUGCCCAAAGCCGGUGGCCUAACCUUCGGGAAGGAGCCGUCUAAGGCAGGGCAGAUGACUGGGGUGAAGUCGUAACAAGGUAGCCGUAGGAGAACCUGCGGCUGGAUCACCUCCUUU
Molecule: ribosomal RNA, 1564 nt
Filed under: Lactobacillus helveticus R0052
Lineage: Bacteria; Bacillati; Bacillota; Bacilli; Lactobacillales; Lactobacillaceae
Description: 16S ribosomal RNA
Rfam family: Bacterial small subunit ribosomal RNA
Source: RNAcentral